Schistosoma mansoni is the source of this 45-nucleotide non-coding RNA. Lineage: Eukaryota; Metazoa; Platyhelminthes; Trematoda; Strigeidida; Schistosomatidae. The record is from Rfam.
AUUCGGCUGACGAGUCCCAAACAGGACGAAACGCGCGUCCUGGAU